GACCAGACUCCUACGGGAGGCAGCAGUGGGGGAUAUUGCACAAUGGGGGAAACCCUGAUGCAGCGACGCCGCGUGGGUGAAGAAGCGCCUCGGCGCGUAAAGCCCUGUCAGCAGGGAAGAAAAUGACGGUACCUGAAGAAGAAGCCCCGGCUAACUACGUGCCAGCAGCCGCGGUAAUACGUAGGGGGCGAGCGUUAUCCGGAUUCACUGGGUGUAAAGGGAGCGUAGACGGCCAAGCAAGCCAGGGGUGAAAGCCCGGGGCCCAACCCCGGGACUGCCCUUGGAACUGCACGGCUGGAGUGCGGGAGGGGCAGGCGGAAUUCCUGGUGUAGCGGUGAAAUGCGUAGAUAUCAGGAGGAACACCGGCGGCGAAGGCGGCCUGCUGGGCGUUAACUGACGCUGAGGCUCGAAAGCGUGGGGAGCAAACAGGAUUAGAUACCCUGGUAUUC
RNAcentral lists this ribosomal RNA (449 nucleotides) under uncultured bacterium. Its description in RNAcentral is "bacterial SSU rRNA". It matches the Rfam family "Bacterial small subunit ribosomal RNA", at positions 329 to 795 of the family's 1533-position model. The record is from RNAcentral.